This 497-nucleotide ribosomal RNA is filed under the name uncultured bacterium. Its description in RNAcentral is "partial 16S ribosomal RNA". It matches the Rfam family "Bacterial small subunit ribosomal RNA", at positions 28 to 507 of the family's 1533-position model. The record is from RNAcentral.
GAUGAACGCUGGCGGCGUGCCUAAUACAUGCAAGUCGAGCGAACAGACGAGGAGCUUGCUCCUCUGACGUUAGCGGCGGACGGGUGAGUAACACGUGGAUAACCUACCUAUAAGACUGGGAUAACUUCGGGAAACCGGAGCUAAUACCGGAUAAUAUAUUGAACCGCAUGGUUCAAUAGUGAAAGACGGUUUUGCUGUCACUUAUAGAUGGAUCCGCGCCGCAUUAGCUAGUUGGUAAGGUAACGGCUUACCAAGGCAACGAUGCGUAGCCGACCUGAGAGGGUGAUCGGCCACACUGGAACUGAGACACGGUCCAGACUCCUACGGGAGGCAGCAGUAGGGAAUCUUCCGCAAAGGGCGAAAGCUUGACGGAGCAACGCCGCGUGAGUGAUGAAGGUCUUCGGAUCGUAAAACUCUGUUAUUAGGGAAGAACAAAUGUGUAAGUAACUAUGCACGUCUUGACGGUACCUAAUCAGAAAGCCGCGGCUAACUACGUG